UACAAUUUAGCGCUCUAUUC
Molecule: microRNA, 20 nt
Filed under: Tribolium castaneum (red flour beetle)
Lineage: Eukaryota; Metazoa; Arthropoda; Insecta; Coleoptera; Tenebrionidae
Description: tca-miR-3814-5p
Source: miRBase by way of RNAcentral